CAGCAGCCGCGGUAAUGCGGAGGGGGCUAGCGUUGUUCGGAAUUACUGGGCGUAAAGCGCACGUAGGCGGCUUGGUAAGUUAGAGGUGAAAGCCUAGAGCUCAACUCCAGAAUUGCCUUUAAGACUGCCGAGCUAGCAGGUGAGAGAGGUAAGUGGAAUUCCGAGUGUAGAGGUGAAAUUCGUAGAUAUUCGGAAGAACACCAGUGGCGAAGGCGGCUUACUGGCUCAUACUGGACGCUGAGGUGCGAAAGCGUGGGGAGCAAACAGGAUUAGAUACCCCCGUAGUCCCUGUCUCUUAUAC
RNAcentral lists this ribosomal RNA (301 nucleotides) under uncultured bacterium. RNAcentral describes it as "partial 16S ribosomal RNA". It matches the Rfam family "Bacterial small subunit ribosomal RNA", at positions 509 to 807 of the family's 1533-position model. The record is from RNAcentral.